Molecule: non-coding RNA, 20 nt
Filed under: Arabidopsis thaliana (thale cress)
Lineage: Eukaryota; Viridiplantae; Streptophyta; Magnoliopsida; Brassicales; Brassicaceae
Also listed under: 1 other name
Source: RNAcentral
GUUGGUGGAGCGAUUUGUCU